RNAcentral lists this ribosomal RNA (492 nucleotides) under uncultured bacterium. RNAcentral describes it as "partial 16S ribosomal RNA". It matches the Rfam family "Bacterial small subunit ribosomal RNA", at positions 29 to 507 of the family's 1533-position model. The record is from RNAcentral.
AGUGAACGCUGGCGGUAGGCCUAGCACAUGCAAGUCGAACGGCAGCACAGUAAGAGCUUGCUCUUACGGGUGGCGAGUGGCGGACGGGUGAGGAAUACAUCGGAAUCUACUUUUUCGUGGGGGAUAACGUAGGGAAACUUACGCUAAUACCGCAUACGACCUACGGGUGAAAGCAGGGGAUCUUCGGACCUUGCGCGAUUGAAUGAGCCGAUGUCGGAUUAGCUAGUUGGCGGGGUAAAGGCCCACCAAGGCGACGAUCCGUAGCUGGUCUGAGAGGAUGAUCAGCCACACUGGAACUGGGACACGGUCCAGACUCCUACGGGAGGCAGCAGUGGGGAAUAUUGGACAAUGGGCGCAAGCCUGAUCCAGCCAUACCGCGUGGGUGAAGAAGGCCUUCGGGUUGUAAAGCCCUUUUGUUGGGAAAGAAAAGCAGCAGGUUAAUACCCCGCUGUUCUGACGGUACCCAAAGAAUAAGCACCGGCUAACUUCGUA